RNAcentral lists this ribosomal RNA (710 nucleotides) under Oncodamus decipiens. RNAcentral describes it as "eukaryotic LSU rRNA". It matches the Rfam family "Eukaryotic large subunit ribosomal RNA", at positions 584 to 898 of the family's 3401-position model. Lineage: Eukaryota; Metazoa; Arthropoda; Arachnida; Araneae; Nicodamidae. The record is from RNAcentral.
AUUCAGUCGAUAUGUGCGGAGGUGCGUGCGGACGUUAUCCAGAAGGCUCCCCGAUCGGGGUCUGUUCCGCUGCACUCUGCCGUACCGUUCGACGCAUUUCUUUUCUGCCCGAAAGGACGCCGCAACCGGUUGGAAGGUGGCCUGAUGGGAGAGCCGUGGCAGUUGGCCGGCGUCUGGAAUACUAGUCUGCCGGUUGUUAGCCUGCUCUGAUCCUAAGCUCGCUAUCCGACCGUGGUGUGUGCCCAACAACUGGGCCCGAUCGCCUCCUCCUUUACCCGAAGUGGCGGGUGGAGAAGCGCGGCAGACGUCACUACGACGGCUGGUCGCACACUCUGAUGGUGUGGACUUGAUCGUCGGCGUCAUCGAUGGCUGUGCAAGAACCCGUGCGAGGUUGGCGGUUGGCGGCGAGUAGAUCGGUCACCCACAUGACCCGUCUUGAAACACGGACCAAGGAGUCUAACAUGUGUGCGAGUCAAUGGGUCUCGAAUAAGCCCAGAGGCGCAAUGAAAGCAAAGGCCGCGCAGAAUGCCGGCUGUGUUGGGAUCCCUGCGCUCGUCGCGGGGCGCACCAACGACCCGUCCCGUCCGAUUCAUCGGUGGGACGGAGUCCGAGCAUACACGUUGGGACCCGAAAGAUGGUGAACUAUGCCUAGUCAGGAUGAGGCCAGAGGAAACCCUGGUAGAGGUCCGCAGCGGUUCUGACGUGCAAAU